UGGGGAAUCUUAGACAAUGGGGGCAACCCUGAUCUAGCCAUGCCGCGUGAGUGAAGAAGGUCCUAGGAUCGUAAAGCUCUUUCGCCUGUGAUGAUAAUGACAGUAGCAGGUAAAGAAACCCCGGCUAACUCCGUGCCAGCAGCCGCGGUAAUACGGAGGGGGUUAGCGUUGUUCGGAAUUACUGGGCGUAAAGCGCGCGUAGGCGGGCUGGAAAGUUGGGGGUGAAAUCCCGGGGCUCAACCCCGGAACUGCCUACAAAACUACCAGUCUGGAGUUCGAGAGAGGUGAGUGGAAUUGCGAGUGUAGAGGUGAAAUUCGUAGAUAUUUGCAGGAACACCAGUGGCGAAGGCGGCUCACUGGCUCGAUACUGACGCUGAGGUGCGAAAGUGUGGGAAGCAAACAGGAUUAAAUACCCUGGUAGUCCACACCGUAAACGAUGAAUGCCAGUCGUCGGGUUGCAUGCAAUUCGGUGACACACUUAACGGAUUAAGCAUUCCGCCUGGGGAGUACGGCCGCAAGGUUA
This 523-nucleotide ribosomal RNA is filed under the name uncultured bacterium. Its description in RNAcentral is "bacterial SSU rRNA". It matches the Rfam family "Bacterial small subunit ribosomal RNA", at positions 355 to 896 of the family's 1533-position model. The record is from RNAcentral.